CUACGUAGGAGGCAAGCGUUAUCCGGAUUUACUGGGUGUAAAGGGAGUGUAGGCGGUCUGGCAAGUCUGAUGUGAAACUCCGCAGCUCAACUGCGGAACUGCAUUGGAAACUGUCAGACUGGAGUGCAGGAGAGGAAAGUGGAAUUCCUAGUGUAGCGGUGAAAUGCGUAGAUAUUAGGAAGAACACCAGUGGCGAAGGCGGCUUUCGGGACGGUAACGGACGCUGAGGCUCGAAAGCGGGGGGAGCAAACAGGAUUAGAUACCCGGGUAGUCCACGCCGUAAACGAUGAAUACUAGGUGUCGGGUGGCAAAGCCAUUCGGUGCCGCAGCUAACGCAAUAAGUAUUCCACCUGGGGAGUACGUUCGCAAGAAUGAAACUCAAAUGAAUUGACGGGG
RNAcentral lists this ribosomal RNA (396 nucleotides) under uncultured bacterium. Its description in RNAcentral is "partial 16S ribosomal RNA". It matches the Rfam family "Bacterial small subunit ribosomal RNA", at positions 523 to 918 of the family's 1533-position model. The record is from RNAcentral.